Molecule: long non-coding RNA, 793 nt
Organism: Gasterosteus aculeatus aculeatus (three-spined stickleback)
Lineage: Eukaryota; Metazoa; Chordata; Actinopteri; Perciformes; Gasterosteidae
Source: Ensembl
GGGACGAGGAGGGUUGAGAAAGAGGCCACUGGACUUGGAGCGCAGCCAGGGCCAGCGAGGGUUUAAAGCUACGCACUGCUCACUGCGACCGGCUCCGCUAACCCAGUCUGACUGGGAUCACAAGCCAAUAGGGGGACAAUUACCCUGGGUACUGCCGAGUCACGCCGGCCAAAGUCUGGUGUGAGUCCAUGUGUGUGUAGAACAGAUCCAUGAAAUCAGCGGCCGAUGCAGACAGGAGUUCAGAUUUGGCGUCACCUGGGUGGCCACACAGUUACAGGCUCUCCGUGCAACUCCCCAUCACUGGGUCCCGGAGCUCCAGGUAUGGAAAACACACGGGCAUCUAUCUCAGGUUUUUGGAGAGAGUGCAUUGGAGGCAUUAUUUUCCUUCUAAAAUACAAUAGUGCUUUGGCACCGCCACAUUCCUUUAAAAGUGCAUUUAUAUGUAACUCACUGCAUGAAUAAACACCAUUACACAUUAUCCAGCUGCGACUUCUACUUCAGGCUUAUUUGGAUUUUGUGAAGGAACCUCUGCUGAACAUCAUCCAUAAUAUAUGACGGGAUUUUGCCAUCAGUCUAAUGGGGGUAAACCGAGAGAUUUGGAAUGGGAAACGUAUUAGAGAGAAUCCAGGAAAGACCAAAAACCUUUAGAGGUGUGAGAACCUGAAUCACCUUUCAACUCCACAUCCAUCCAUCCAGUGAAGUGUUAUUCAAGCCAGGGUGAGCGGGACUGUGACACCCCUGUAAAUGAAGGUCAGCUGAGCGGUUUGAGGGUAAAAAUGAAAUAUACAUUUAC